Molecule: long non-coding RNA, 542 nt
Organism: Anolis sagrei ordinatus
Lineage: Eukaryota; Metazoa; Chordata; Lepidosauria; Squamata; Anolidae
Source: RefSeq, a predicted model, not a curated record
UUGUCACUCUUGACUUUCCUACCUCUAGAGUGCUUGCUGUUGGCCAAUAGCGGGUCUCCAUUCGGUAUAGGCCGGAAGCCUGGCGCGCUAUCGCUCAAACUUCCGGUCCGGACCCGCCAUUUUGUUCGUGCUCGCUGAGGGAGAAGGUCGCAUCAUGUCCUUGCAGUUGCUGAGGAAGGGGCUGAGGCUCUCCGGCCUGGCUGCCCAGCCGACCAGGGGCAUCGCCACCAAGCCGCCUCGGGAUCCCGUGGGCCCCGUGGGGACUGUCAUUGGCCUGAGCACCUUCUUCUUGGCAUUUAUGGUACCAUCGGGAUGGGUCCUGGCCAACCUGGAAAGCUACAAAAACCGAGGAUGAGAAGGACCAAGAAGACCAUGCUGAAGCCCAGAAGAACAGGCAUAGUCUCUUCAAAGAUGCAUGACUUCUCCCAUUCCAGGGAACGGUGUUUUCCCAUAAGGACUAGUGUCCUGAAAUAUGCUCAGUGCUGCUACUCGCAUAGAGACUUUCCAAAAUCUGUUACAAUAAAUUAUACUACAAAGCUGUA